CUGAAACAUCUUAGUACCCGGAGGAAGAGAAAGAAAAUUCGAUUCCCUUAGUAGCGGCGAGCGAAACGGGAAGAGCCCAAACCAACAAGCUUGCUUGUUGGGGUUGUAGGACACUCUAUACGGAGUUACAAAGGACGACAUUAGACGAAUCAUCUGGAAAGAUGAAUCAAAGAAGGUAAUAAUCCUGUAGUCGAAAAUGUUGUCUCUCUUGAGUGGAUCCUGAGUACGACGGAGCACGUGAAAUUCCGUCGGAAUCUGGGAGGACCAUCUCCUAAGGCUAAAUACUCUCUAGUGACCGAUAGUGAACCAGUACCGUGAGGGAAAGGUGAAAAGCACCCCGGAAGGGGAGUGAAAUAGAACCUGAAACCGUGUGCUUACAAGUAGUCAGAGCCCGUUAAUGGGUGAUGGCGUGCCUUUUGUAGAAUGAACCGGCGAGUUACGAUUUGAUGCAAGGUUAAGCAGUAAAUGUGGAGCCGUAGCGAAAGCGAGUCUGAAUAGGGCGUUUAGUAUUUGGUCGUAGACCCGAAACCAGGUGAUCUACCCUUGGUCAGGUUGAAGUUCAGGUAACACUGAAUGGAGGACCGAACCGACUUACGUUGAAAAGUGAGCGGAUGAACUGAGGGUAGCGGAGAAAUUCCAAUCGAACCUGGAGAUAGCUGGUUCUCUCCGAAAUAGCUUUAGGGCUAGCCUCAAGUGAUGAUUAUUGGAGGUAGAGCACUGUUUGGACGAGGGGCCCCUCUCGGGUUACCGAAUUCAGACAAACUCCGAAUGCCAAUUAAUUUAACUUGGGAGUC
RNAcentral lists this ribosomal RNA (794 nucleotides) under Staphylococcus aureus. RNAcentral describes it as "partial 23S ribosomal RNA". It matches the Rfam family "Bacterial large subunit ribosomal RNA", at positions 193 to 985 of the family's 2925-position model. Lineage: Bacteria; Bacillati; Bacillota; Bacilli; Caryophanales; Staphylococcaceae. The record is from RNAcentral.